RNAcentral lists this ribosomal RNA (253 nucleotides) under uncultured bacterium. RNAcentral's name for it is "partial 16S ribosomal RNA". It matches the Rfam family "Bacterial small subunit ribosomal RNA", at positions 524 to 776 of the family's 1533-position model. The record is from RNAcentral.
UACGAAGGGGGCAAGCGUUGUUCGGAAUUACUGGGCGUAAAGCGCACGUAGGUGGCGACGUAAGUCGGGUGUGAAAGCCCCGGGCUCAACCUGGGAAUUGCAUUCGAGACUGCAUUGCUGGAGUACGGAAGAGGAAGGCGGAAUUCCCGGUGUAGCGGUGAAAUGCGUAGAUAUCGGGAGGAACAUCAGUGGCGAAGGCGGCCUUCUGGUCCAGUACUGACACUCAAGUGCGAAAGCGUGGGGAGCAAACAGG